ACAAACGAACGACUUUAAGUGUUCACACAGUUUGUUUGAUGAUUGUAGGCAAUGGAAGAACAAAGGAAAAAGUGCAAGGCAAAGAUAGUAUCUUUACAUGUUGUCCCCAUCGUCUAGAGGCCUAGGACAUCGCUCUUUCACGGCGGUAACCGGGGUUCGAAUCCCCGUGGGGACGCCAUUUAAAGAUGAUUAUCCGUCUUAUCUGUUCUUUAAAAAUCCGGAAACAAGCUGAAAACGAGACUUUCAAGGAAGUCUGAGCGCAGUGAUUGAGAAAGGCGAUUACUCGACUUUAGUUUAAAACUGUUAUUAAUCGCAGCGCGGGGUAUGCCACUUAUGGUGAAUAUACUAAUAUCCUAUGAGAGGGCAAGAAUACUUGAGGUUGUAU
This 385-nucleotide transfer RNA is filed under the name Aggregatibacter actinomycetemcomitans. RNAcentral's name for it is "16S-23S spacer". The stretch from base 103 to 175 matches the Rfam family "tRNA". The record is from RNAcentral. Lineage: Bacteria; Pseudomonadati; Pseudomonadota; Gammaproteobacteria; Pasteurellales; Pasteurellaceae.